CCUCCCCCUCCCACCCCUUUCCUCUCUUCUCUCACCUGUGCAGAAACAUUGCCAGCAGUGUUGAUAGCACCUAUGACUAUCCGGAAGGUUACUGAAACACAAAUGAAAGAGAGAGCUCCUCACUUUUUGCAAGCAGAAAGGCAAAACAACUUUUUUCUGCCCCUCUCACGGGCACCAUAUCUUUCUCUUUCUCUAGAUUACCCUCCCAGCAUAAAUUUACCUCUUCACCAAUUUACCCCUUCCCCAGUGUACAGAACACAUGCUUCUGUAUAUAAAAGUUUGAAGAGUAAGGGGUGGUUGUUAUUAUAAUGCAACAUUGAGUUAUUUAAGUUCCAUUUAGAGAGGUGAAGAUAGUUAAAUUUAGCUGACAGUUCGAAGGGAAAUGGCACUAGAAGCACUAUCUUCUAGUGAGUUCCUGAACUUCAUAAUCUAUGACACUAUUCCUUCAACUCCAUAUAACUGCCAUGACUCCCUAGAGACAGCAGGUUUCUUGUUAGAGAAUUUAAAACCUCAAGACCAUGGUGUUUCUGUAAAUAGCUCUUCACUAAUGACUCAACAAAGAUGUUCUAUGGGACGAGAAGCCACCAAUAGGGGGCAGAAUUUAUUAGCUGUGCAAGGAAAAAAGAAAAGAAGAAGAAAGCCAAGAGUUUGUAAGAACAGAGAAGAAGCUGAGACACAAAGGAUGACACACAUUGCUGUUGAGAGGAAUCGGAGGAAACUGAUGAACGGGUAUCUUGCCGUUUUGAGAUCUCUCAUGCCUGAAUCUUAUGUUCAAAGGGGUGACCAGGCUUCUAUAGUGGGUGGUGCCAUAGAGUUCGUGAAGGAGUUAGAGCACCUUCUGCAAUCCUUUGAAGCCAGAAAGCUCAAACUACAUCAAGGACUAACAGGACCUGAUUAUGACAUUGAAGAUGCUACUGCAACCUCAGAGUUUCCACCACCACCCUUCGCACAGUUUUUUGUGUAUCCUCAAUACACUUGGUCUCAAAUCCCUAACAAGUUUACGUCAAAAACCAAAGCAUCCAUAGCCGAUAUUGAGGUCAGUUUGAUUGAAACCCAUGCAAAUCUGCGGAUUCUCUCAAGAAGAAGCCCCAGACAACUUUCAAAGCUAGUUGCUGGAUUUCAAACACUUUACCUCGCUGUCCUUCACAUCAAUGUGACCACCAUGGACCCCUUGGUUCUAUACUCAAUCAGUGCCAAGGUAUGUACAAUGAAUAUAUGUUGUGCUAUUGUUUGCAUAAGGUUGCACACUUGUGUUUCUCUUCAUUUUACUUUAAUUUGGACCCUGACACAAAAGAAAAGUAAAUUCCGAACCCUACUCUUAUAUUGUUUAUGUAACUUUGGGUGCCAUCUCUAUCAAUAAUAUUUGUAUUGUAAGGAUGUUUUCUCAUAUUUUAGAAAAAUGCAGUCACUUGAUUGAUUAAAUACUACGGGACAUGUUACACGGGUCAUGUAUUUCGUUCAGAAAGCAUGAAUAGCACUGAAUAGCACUAUAAUUAUGCAACUAGUAUAUGCUCCUAACAAAUGACCCCACAAUAAUGAGAUCGAUGGCGAGGAAAUCUGUCGCCAUUUUAUAAGCAAUGGCCUUCAAUUAUAGCCAUACGGGCCAGGGGGGAAUGGGCAGGCUUGAAGAAGGAUGCGAACUCACCUCGGUAGAUGACAUCGCAGGAGCAGUCCACCACAUGCUUCGAAUAAUUGAGGAAGAAACUGCCCUGUGUUGAUCAGUCAAGUCAUUUAUCUAUCCAAAAUGCCCAUUGGUGGACGACAAAAUCACCAUAAUGCCACCCACUUUUGUCUCUUGUGAUGAAGUUCCAGGUCUUCCUUCUGGGGCUUUUCAGUGCAUCUUCAGUGUAGUUGGACACUUGUGCUUCGUGAGUUGUAAUGUUUUUUUUUUGUUUUUUUAACAGUCCAUGAGGGCUAAAACUUUAAAAAGUGUAUUUUCAAACAGAAAGGAAAAUGGAAGGAGAGAGAUAAUGGGAUUUGAGAGUCUUGCCAUGUUUGCAACUAUCUGGCAUGUGAAGGUAUCUGUUUCAAGGACUGAAAAUGCGAAGCAUAUGACUCUUUUCUUUC
RNA transcript from Populus nigra (black poplar), 2067 nucleotides. It is a transcript of the gene named transcription factor bHLH71-like, with no coding region annotated. The record is from RefSeq and is a predicted model, not a curated record. NCBI's taxonomy places the organism in Eukaryota, Viridiplantae, Streptophyta, Magnoliopsida, Malpighiales, Salicaceae. The transcript has 3 exons.